GAUGAACGCUGGCGGCGUGCCUAAUACAUGCAAGUCGAGCGAACAGGCGAGGAGCUUGCUCCUCUGACGUUAGCGGCGGACGGGUGAGUAACACGUGGAUAACCUACCUAUAAGACUGGGAUAACUGCGGGAAACCGGAGCUAAUACCGGAUAAUAUAGUGAACCGUAUGGUUCAGUAGUGAAAGACGGUUUUGCUGUCGCUUAUAGAUGGUUCCCCUCCGCAUUAGCUAGUUGGUAAGGUAACGGCUUACCAAGGCAACGAUGCGUAGCCGACCUGAGAGGGUGAUCGGCCACACUGGAACUGAGACACGGUCCAGACUCCUGCGGGAGGCAGCAGUCGCGAAUCUGCCGCAAUGGGCGAAAGCCUGACGGAGCAACGCCGCGUGAGUGAUGAAGGUCUUCGGAUCGUAAAACUCUGUUACUAGGGAAGAACAAAUGUGUAAGUAACUAUGCACGUCUUGACGGUACCUAAUCAGAAAGCCACGGCUAACUACGUG
RNAcentral lists this ribosomal RNA (497 nucleotides) under uncultured bacterium. RNAcentral's name for it is "partial 16S ribosomal RNA". It matches the Rfam family "Bacterial small subunit ribosomal RNA", at positions 28 to 507 of the family's 1533-position model. The record is from RNAcentral.